UUUUUUUUAAGUUUUUUCGUUCGAACAACUUGUCCCAAUUGUAGAAUAACUUUGAUAGUUGUUCGAUAACUUUACGAAAUUGUUCAACAACUACGCAAGUUGUUCAACAACUAGGCACAGUUGUCCUACAACUGCACCUAGUUGUUCAACAACUGAAAGAAAUUGUUCAACAACUGCGGGAAGUUAUUCAAACAAAUAACGUAAUUAUUUCACAAUUAUCCAAUUAGUCAAGGGACUUAAUUUUUUUUAAGAACAAAUUUGUGAGACCCAUUUAUCCUUCUAGCCUAUUUUUCUCUUUUAAACUCCUCUUCUCCAACAAACAACGACAGCAACAAACAACUCGACAACAACAAUAUCAACAAGCAGUAACAAUUUAAAGAACGGCAAAACCAAACAACAACAAUUUCAAUACAAAACCUGACCUGAACCCGGUAAACCCAGCAACCCGCAAACCGCACCAACGUACAGCUCCGACCCUCAUCCUCUUUUCAAUUCAAAAUUUCAAUCCGUACAAAUUGUAAGAUUCCAGCUCAUACCCUUAUCUCCUAAGAAGAUUCCUCCCUAAAAUUUCAAAAUUGCCUCCGGAUUUUCCAAUCCCACAUCGACAAUUAGUCAAGAGUUGGGAUUUUUGGGUUCUAUAUAAACCCUUCCCACUCUACUAUUCAAACGGGGUUUUUUUGAAGGAAAAAGAGCUAAAAUUCUCUACUCAGGUAGGAUUCGGACUUCUGUCCCCAACCUGGAGUUGUGAGAAUUUUGAUUCAAGUUUCGUUUUUCUUUGUCGUUUUCAAAUAGGAAGCAAGUUGGUAAGGUUGUUGUCGACUCUUUAUCCCGGUCUGCUGCCCCUAAAAAGGUAAACUUCUCAUCUUGUUUCUUUUUUUUCUCGCGUGAUUAUGUCUCGUCGAAUUUAUGAUAGUUAUUUUUAGUUUUUCUUUUGCUGGUGGGAUUGUUUGCUGUAGAAAGCUUUGAAAGCUAUAGGUUUUGUGUAAUAGAAAUGGUAUAGUUUUCCUUUGUUACUCUUAAUAAUUGCAUCGAAUCAUGGAUUUUGUUGCUAUGGUAGUAUUUAGGUCGUAUUGGUUUCACUACUACUGAAGUUUCAUAAUCGGCCUGGAAAUGUAUUUGAUUCUGAUUAUUUGCUGGCGAUUUGGAUGAAUAUGGUUUGCAAAAUCUCAAUUAAGUGUAUGAUUCACAUCAUUUUUCUGUUCAUGUGUUGGUUUAAAAUCUGAAAUUUCAGAAGUCUUACAAGGCUCUUCAUCUUUAGAAACAAUCGUUCUAUUUUCGUUCAUGCCAUGUUUAAGAGUAUGUGAGCUCUUUUCCUGCUUGUGACUGCCAAUUUUAUUUGUUUUAAUCAAGAUUUGUUCUAAUGGGUAUUCUAUGUGGUUUAUUUCUUCCUCUUUAUUGCUCGUAUGUGCUUAGUUUAGGUUAUUAUUUGUUGUUGAAUACCUCCAAGGUAAUUCAAUGACCCAAUUCAACAUGAUUUUCUAGUUAAUGUUUCCGCCGAAUUAUUGCUAAAUCACUUCGGUUCAUGAUGUGUUGCCUGCUUUAUACUUCCUUGCUAGAUAGUUUAAUGCUUCUAAAAUUGUGUCCUCUUUUAGCCAUAAAAGACAGGUCCAUUUUUGUUUGGCUUUGUUCAUUAAAUUCGUCCAAAAUUAUUAAUCUUCGGCUUUAAAAGAAUGACUUUGCCUCUUCAAAUUAGUUCAAGAUAUCUGUCUUUGCCAUGGGAGUUGUCUUCUUCUUUUAUUUGAAUACGCUUCUAUUUUCAACAUGUAAAAUGAUCUUGUUUGCUUAGUGAUUUAAAUGACCAAAGAUUAGACAUAAUAUCAUAUUGAUUCUGUUAAUUAAAGAUUUUCUUGAAUGUAUAAUUUUUCUUAGAAAUAGAUAUGAGAUGCAUUUCAUUGCUGUUGAUUUUUGUUAGUUUGGAUUCAUGUUAUUUUAUUUGCCAAUUAUUCACUUUAAAAUAGAUACUUAUUCUUAUCUUCUUUUUGUGGCAUGUGACAUUGACCCGAGUCCAUUAGACUCCAUCUCCCCUUUGCAUUUCCGCUGGGCCAUUGAGGCCCAACAUCAUCGAGUCCAAGAUCCCAUGCCAAAAGUCCCCAAACGAGACAGCUUUGCGACAAUAUAUGGCGGAUGUACAGAUUUCAUAGGGCAAAAGCAGUUGAUAUACGGCAAUAGACAGUAGUAAAUGAAGGCAAGGGAGUGAAGUAUCGAUUUUAUACGCUGAUAUACAGUUUGUAUACAGAAAAACUGCCAAUGAAGUCUAGUAUAUGUGAAGUAUACAACUGAUAUACAGCUGGUAUACAUCUGAAAAGGGGCUAAAAAAGGGUCCAUUAAAAUAGGUCCAACGGUUGUCCAGAUUUAAAGUGGGCUAGAAAGGGGCCAUUUGCUUGUAGUUAAUUUAAUUAUUUAUUUAUAAUUUAAUUUAAUCCAGAUGAAUCCUCGGGAAGCAAAUUAUAUUGAAAUUAUUCAUUUAUGUUGAUUAUUUAAUAUUUUUAAUCUUUAAUUUUUAAUUCUUUUAUUUUAGAAAAACUUUAGUUCGAGGAAUAACUUGAGGAUCUGCUUAUAUCCUUUCAUAGUUAUUAUCGAUUCUAAAUUCAUGUUUUUAAGAAGUUGGGUUAAUUCUUUAGCGUAAAUUGGAUAAAUUUAUUAAAGUUAGAAUUAUUUUGAAACUUUUGAUAUUUAGUUCAUUUUAUCACUUCGAAUAAAUUAAAUGGAUUAGUAUCAAAUAAACUCUAUUAUUUUGAAAUAAGGUUUUUUAAAUAAAUUCAAGAUUUUUAAUAAGAUUUUUUCAAAUAAUCUAAGAAUUUUUUUUUAAAUUAGCCAAAUAAGUUUAAUUUGUCGAGAAUCACACUUUGUGGAUUUUUGAAAGUGCU
This 2867-nucleotide long non-coding RNA is filed under the name Capsicum annuum. RNAcentral's name for it is "long non-coding RNA (CANN_LNC001302)". The record is from RNAcentral. Lineage: Eukaryota; Viridiplantae; Streptophyta; Magnoliopsida; Solanales; Solanaceae.